AAUGCUAAAAUGCAAUCUUAAAGGCUGAAAUUCAGUAUCUCAGUUUUCUGCAAUAAAAAAAAGUAGGUCACCGUGGUUAUUUGUCCGCUAUGGCGGCUUUUUUGGUUGAUAUAGGCCAUAUAGAUGGUGACGUCAUGGUAACAUGAAGAGUAGCGAAUUAAAAAUUACUUUUUUAUAUAAGAUGAAACAAUGGCUUGUGCAAAAACUUAAGUUUUUUUAGCACUGAUAUAUAUUGGAAACUGAAUGGAGCCUCCUUAAAGAG
This is a non-coding RNA of Paramuricea clavata, 262 nucleotides long. The record is from the annotation of a GenBank genome assembly. NCBI's taxonomy places the organism in Eukaryota, Metazoa, Cnidaria, Anthozoa, Malacalcyonacea, Plexauridae.